AGUGAACGCUGGCGGUAGGCCUAACACAUGCAAGUCGAACGGCAGCACAGUAAGAGCUUGCUCUUACGGGUGGCGAGUGGCGGACGGGUGAGGAAUACAUCGGAAUCUACUUUUUCGUGGGGGAUAACGUAGGGAAACUUACGCUAAUACCGCAUACGACCUACGGGUGAAAGCAGGGGAUCUUCGGACCUUGCGCGAUUGAACGAGCCGAUGUCGGAUUAGCUAGUUGGCGGGGUAAAGGCCCACCAAGGCGACGAUCCGUAGCUGGUCUGAGAGGAUGAUCAGCCACACUGGAACUGAGACACGGUCCAGACUCCUACGGGAGGCAGCAGUGGGGAAUAUUGGACAGUGGGCGCAAGCCUGAUCCAGCCAUACCGCGUGGGUGAAGAAGGCCUUCGGGUUGUAAAGCCCUUUUGUUGGGAAAGAAAAGCAGCAGGUUAAUACCCCGCUGUUCUGACGGUACCCAAAGAAUAAGCACCGGCUAACUUCGU
RNAcentral lists this ribosomal RNA (491 nucleotides) under uncultured bacterium. RNAcentral's name for it is "partial 16S ribosomal RNA". It matches the Rfam family "Bacterial small subunit ribosomal RNA", at positions 29 to 506 of the family's 1533-position model. The record is from RNAcentral.